Molecule: ribosomal RNA, 254 nt
Filed under: uncultured bacterium
Lineage: Bacteria
Description: partial 16S ribosomal RNA
Rfam family: Bacterial small subunit ribosomal RNA
Source: RNAcentral
UACGUAGGGGCCAAGCGUUGUCCGGAUUUAUUGGGCGUAAAGAGCUCGUAGGCGGUUGGGUAAGUCGGGUGUGAAAACUCCAGGCUCAACUUGGAGAUGCCACCCGAUACUGCUCUGACUUGAGUUCGGUAGGGGAGUGGGGAAUUCCUGGUGUAGCGGUGAAAUGCGCAGAUAUCAGGAGGAACACCGGUGGCGAAGGCGGCUCUCUGGGACGGUACUGACGCUGAGACGCGAAAGCGUGGGGAGCGAACAGG